CUGACAGUGGUGGCGCGCUGCCACUUUAAAGGUGCAUGGAUUUCUCUGACCUUAUAUUCCUCAGGAUCAGAAGAACCCAGGGAGAAUGGGUUAUGUCACAAUGGGAGGUGAGGUUGGGAAAACAGUGCUUGCCUCACAGUGCUCCCCAAAGCCACCUUUGGUUCCAGGUGUAGACCAGGUAUGACAUACUAGUGCUUUCUCUAGAUGUGCAAAGAGGCCCGGUGGACUUCCAAGGAAAAUGGGCUCUGGCCUCCUCCUUCAGGUGAACUAGGAAGCCCAGUGUAGGACCCUCAGGGCCUUUGGAAGCACAGGUGACCCUUGAACACCACGGGUUUCAACUGUGUGGGUCCGCUUACAUGUGGAUUUUCUUUCCAAUAAAUACAGUGUCAUACUGUCAAUGUAUUUUCCCUUCCUUAUAAGUUUUUUAAAAUUUCUUUUAUGUUUAUUUAUUUUUGGGAGAGAGAGAGAGAGAGAGAGAGAGAGAGCGAGCUGUCAGCACAGAGCCUGAUGGGGGGCUCGAACUCACAAACUGCAAGAUCAUGACCUGAGCUGAAAUCGGACGCUUAACUGACUGAGUCACCCAGGCGCCCACCACCCCCCUUAUAAUGUUCUUAAUAACAUUUUCUUUUUUCUAGCUUACUUUAUUAUAAGAAUACAGUAUAUGAUACAUAGAACAUACAAAACGUGUUAAUCGACUGUUUAUGUUCUUGGUAAGGCUUCUAGUGAAGAGCAGGCUAUUAGUAGUUACAUUUUUGGGGAGUCCCUAACACCUGUGUUGCUCAAGGGUCAACUGCAUUGUCUUACAGCCUGGCACACCCAGUUCAUCCUUUAAAACAACGUUAGAGGCCAUCAAGCUCAUCCAACAAAUAUGUACUGUGUGUCAAGCACUGUUCUAGGGGCCAGAAAGAUAGCAGUGCAUGAAUCAGUGACAAAUGGAUUCAGAACACAACACGAGGCAGCUGAAUUCACUAGGAAGGAGCUGCCCGACCGAAUUUGCUUUCUCAGCCUUUUACCGACCAGCUGUGAGACCUUGAACAAGCCAGCCACCUGCCCCUGCAGUGCAUCUUCAGUGCAGUUUCAUCUGUAGGUGGGAAUAAUAAGA
Molecule: long non-coding RNA, 1102 nt
Filed under: Felis catus (domestic cat)
Lineage: Eukaryota; Metazoa; Chordata; Mammalia; Carnivora; Felidae
Description: lncRNA (ENSFCAG00000049485.1)
Source: RNAcentral